CUCAUAAUGGGGUCAUCUGUGCAUCAGAGGAGGCUGUUGGGACGAGAUACAUGUGAUUUCAAUGUCUUUGAUACCGUUCCAGCCAUUACAAUGAGCCCGUCCUCCUGUAGCUCCUCCCACCAGCCUCCUCUGCUGUACAUACAAAACGGGUUAUUUUGGAAAUGUGAAUCACACCUAUCAUAUCACAGGAUGGCAGUGGAAUCUUCUAGAACACACGUCUUUGGCUCCUUUGGCUCAAUGCGUAAAAAUACACGGGUGAAUGGAUGGUCCAGGAAAGUUUUCACAGCAGAGACGUGUGUGUUCUCAACAUGAAACUUGACCUUACAGUAUAGAAAUUGAAUAAAUAUAUAAAACAAAUAAAUAUGCAAUAGGUAAGACGAGUGAUCGUUACAUAAGAUGAACGUUCUCUCAAAACCUUUGUGUUGUGAGUGUGUGGUGUGUGAGUUUGCGCUGGUAUUACUAACAAGCUUAUGAUUGUGGUGCUUUAUGGUGGGUAAAAGUAAGUUUUAUCUAUACCGUUACAUUAUUUCCAUUCCAGCCAUCGCAAUGAGCUAAGACCUGGGUUCAAAUAGUAUUUGUAAUCUUUCAUUGAGCUGCUUGGUACAACGGAACCAAUGCAAUAGUCUGAAAAGUACAAAUCCUGCCCGACCAUCUGGCACUCCAGACGGGCUCAAAAUAUUUGAGAGAUUUCAAAUAAUAUUUGAACCCAGGUCUGUCUUUUCUCUGGUGGCAUAUUGAUCCCUUGGUGCUCAGUAGGCCGAUAGUAGCCACAGGCACGCGCCACACACACACACACCUUCAGUGUUCUUCCUCCGACUGAGAGAUAUAAUAUAGUGACUCCUCCUUCAUGUAGCAAGUUGACUUUGUGCACAAAAAUAAAAAGAAAGACUAUGGUAAUAAAUAUAGCUUAGUGUUGAUGUUGUCUUAGGGUGGUGGAGGGAUAGUGGGGAUGGAGGGAUAGUGGGGAUGGAGGGAUAGUGGGGAUGGAGGGAUAGUGGGGAUGGAGGGAUAGUGGGGAUGAAGGGAUAUGGGGACCGGAGGGAUAGUGGGGACGGAGGGAUAGUGGGGACGGAGGGAUAGUGGGGAUGGAGGGAUAGUGGGGAUGGAGGGAUAGUGGGGAUGGAGGGAUAGUGGGGAUGGAGGGAUAGGGGG
Molecule: long non-coding RNA, 1152 nt
Organism: Oncorhynchus tshawytscha (Chinook salmon)
Lineage: Eukaryota; Metazoa; Chordata; Actinopteri; Salmoniformes; Salmonidae
Source: Ensembl